UCUGGGCGGCCCUAGGCUCCAAUAAUGGAGGAAGACCUCAAUGAUAACACCCAGACAAUAAGUGUCCCCAGAAGGGGAUGCUGGUAUACCCACCUGUGGCAUUCAUGUCUGGGUCUUAGAUGCAUGCAUCCUCAGAAAAAGAGGAAAUUUCCCCUCUACUUGAUUGGCUAUGACCCAACGGGCCCAUUAUAACUAGAGGCCAGUGUGGGUGACCUAGAUAUAUUAAUCCACUCCAGUCAACAUCAUGUGGAUGAGUCUGAUAGAAAGAACAGGACUUCGCUGCAUUAUGCAUUUGCCCACAACCAUCCAGACGUGGUGACACUAUUAUUAGAAAAUAAUUCCAGCAUUAACAUCCGGGAUGAUGAAGGCUGUACACCCUUGAUUAAGGCCACCCAACGAGACAAUGUGGAUUGUGUUUCUGUAUUGCUCACCCACAAUGCGGAUCCAAAUCUGAUAGAUUCCAGUGGGAACACAGCCUUACACCAUGCUAUAUCCAGGGGUAACAUAAGGAUUGUAAAAAUGCUCCUUGAGCACAACGUAGACAUUGAAGCCAAAACAGAGUAUGGCUUGACACUGUUGCAACUUGCAACAUUUGAACAGAAACCUGAAAUGGUAGAAUUUUUAGCAGCAAAGUGUGCAAACAGAUGGAGCUUUCAAAAUGGAUAUCACUGGAUCAUCAGCUCAGAGAACUGAAGUGAAGCAUGUCAGGUUUAACGAAGAAGUCUUAUAUUUUGAAGAGGAAAGGCCUUUGUCCUGGUAAGGUUUAACAAUUCCUUAAUAGUAGGUAAAUUCAAAGAUAAGAAGCAAAUUCUUGUUGUGAGUACUUUGAGACCUGUGUCUUACAAGUCCCACAAUAUUAUGAAUAUAUUUUUUAGCUUGGAAACUUGCUCAGUUUAGUUCAUAGGAACAUGAACACUGUAUUCACCCACCAUUUCCAAGAACCAACUCUGCAGUUUGGAAAAAGAGCCUGCUGGGAUUAGCUAUGCACAUGGAUGUCCAUUUAAGAUUCAUUGGCUUUUCAAAGCCUUACUGAAUUCAAUUUGUGAACUAAGACCCACACUAGUAGCUAUCAUUUCAGACAUUUCUCUUGUCUGAGAGUUUACAUAAUUCUGGAUGCUUCUCAGUUGUCAGUCAUCACUACAGGAUGCCAACAAAUUUCUUUCUACUUCUAACAGAACUUUACAUGCACAGGACCUUUUUUGUCAGGGGUAGCAUCUUUCAUAGCUGUUGGAAGACACCCAUGUCUUCCAGAAUGCUCCAUCCAUCAAUGAUCUGUUCACGUGAUCUGUUUUCCACAGUAAUGAAUCCUUUAACUCUCAGUACAUUAUCUGAAUGGCAGUGUAACUAAUAGUUAUCUUUCUACAAAGGGGGCUUUUGUUUUCUACAUCAGUUGGAUAUGACCAUAGAGGUGAAGGCCCAUCCACUCCUGUCCAGGAUGCUAGGUUAGACACUAGCUUGAUAGAAAACUAAAAGUUGUAUUUCGAGCUAAUUCUGUGCACAUUAGGAUUCAUUACUUUCACAAGAGAGGACAACUAUAUUGUCCUCUUUAUUUGUGCUAUGUAUCAACAAAACAUUUUCUAAACAUUAUUAAAUAGCUUACUGAAUCCAAAGGUAAUGUGGAAAGUGAAGAUUGAAAAAUUUUCAGGACUUAAAGCUCUUCAGAGACUCCUUGAAAAAU
Molecule: RNA transcript, 1678 nt
Organism: Mus musculus (house mouse)
Lineage: Eukaryota; Metazoa; Chordata; Mammalia; Rodentia; Muridae
Gene name: predicted gene 3643
Exons: 7
Source: RefSeq, a predicted model, not a curated record